RNAcentral lists this unclassified non-coding RNA (254 nucleotides) under uncultured Acidimicrobiia bacterium. Its description in RNAcentral is "contains 16S-23S intergenic spacer region". It matches the Rfam family "Bacterial small subunit ribosomal RNA", at positions 524 to 776 of the family's 1533-position model. Lineage: Bacteria; Bacillati; Actinomycetota; Acidimicrobiia. The record is from RNAcentral.
GACGUAGGGGGCGAGCGUUGUCCGGAUUUAUUGGGCGUAAAGAGCUCGUAGGCGGCCUGCUAAGUCGGGUGUGAAAGCUCCGAGCUCAACUCGGAGAAGCCACUCGAUACUGGUAUGGCUAGAGUCCGGUAGAGGAGUGUGGAAUUCCCGGUGUAGCGGUGAAAUGCGCAGAUAUCGGGAGGUACACCGAUGGCGAAGGCAGCACUCUGGGCCGGUACUGACGCUGAGGUGCGAAAGCGUGGGGAGCAAACAGG